AUGAACGCUGGCGGCGUGCCUAAUACAUGCCAGUCGAGCGAACAGACGAGGAGCUUGCUCCUCUGACGUUAGCGGCGGACGGGUGAGUAACACGUGGAUAACCUACCUAUAAGACUGGGAUAACUUCGGGAAACCGGAGCUAAUACCGGAUAAUAUAUUGAACCGCAUGGUUCAAUAGUGAAAGACGGUUUUGCUUUCACUUAUAGAUGGAUCCGCGCCGCAUUAGCUAGUUGGUAAGGUAACGGCUUACCAAGGCAACGAUGCGUAGCCGACCUGAGAGGGUGAUCGGCCACACUGGAACUGAGACACGGUCCAGACUCCUACGGGAGGCAGCAGUAGGGAAUCUUCCGCAAUGGGCGAAAGCCUGACGGAGCAACGCCGCGUGAGUGAUGAAGGUCUUCGGAUCGUAAAACUCUGUUAUUAGGGAAGAACAAAUGUGUAAGUAACUAUGCACGUCUUGACGGUACCUAAUCAGAAAGCCACGGCUAACUACGUG
This 496-nucleotide ribosomal RNA is filed under the name uncultured bacterium. RNAcentral describes it as "partial 16S ribosomal RNA". It matches the Rfam family "Bacterial small subunit ribosomal RNA", at positions 29 to 507 of the family's 1533-position model. The record is from RNAcentral.